UUUCCGUAGGUGAACCUGCGGAAGGAUCAUUACUGAGUGAGGGUCUCCGGGCCCGACCUCCAACCCUUUGUGAAUCGUACUCGUUGCUUCGGGGGCGACCCUGCCGUUUCGACGGCGAGCGCCCCCGGAGGCCUUCAAACACUGCAUCUUUGCGUCGGAGUUUUAGUAAAUUAAACAAAACUUUCAACAACGGAUCUCUUGGUUCUGGCAUCGAUGAAGAACGCAGC
This 227-nucleotide unclassified non-coding RNA is filed under the name uncultured fungus. RNAcentral's name for it is "sequence contains ITS1, 5.8S rRNA gene". The stretch from base 179 to 227 matches the Rfam family "5.8S ribosomal RNA", at positions 1 to 49 of the family's 154-position model. The record is from RNAcentral. Lineage: Eukaryota; Fungi.